RNAcentral lists this ribosomal RNA (467 nucleotides) under uncultured bacterium. RNAcentral's name for it is "partial 16S ribosomal RNA". It matches the Rfam family "Bacterial small subunit ribosomal RNA", at positions 28 to 506 of the family's 1533-position model. The record is from RNAcentral.
GACGAACGCUGGCGGCGUGCUUAACACAUGCAAGUCGAACGGAAAGGCCCUGCUUUUGUGGGGUGCUCGAGUGGCGAACGGGUGAGUAACACGUGAGUAACCUGCCCUUGACUUUGGGAUAACUUCAGGAAACUGGGGCUAAUACCGGAUAGGAGCUCCUGCUGCAUGGUGGGGGUUGGAAAGUUUCGGCGGUUGGGGAUGGACUCGCGGCUUAUCAGCUUGUUGGUGGGGUAGUGGCUUACCAAGGCUUCGACGGGUAGCCGGCCUGAGAGGGUGACCGGCCACAUUGGGACUGAGAUACGGCCCAGACUCCUACGGGAGGCAGCAGUGGGGAAUGUUGCACAAUGGGCGGAAGCCUGAUGCAGCAACGCCGCGUGCGGGAUGACGGCCUUCGGGUUGUAAACCGCUUUCGCCUGUGACGAAGCGUGAGUGACGGUAAUGGGUAAAGAAGCACCGGCUAACUACGU